UGCGGAGUAGAGCAGCCUGGUAGCUCGCGAGGCUCAUAAUCUUGAGGUCGUAGGUUCGAAUCCUACCUCCGCUA
This 74-nucleotide transfer RNA is filed under the name Gloeotilopsis planctonica. RNAcentral's name for it is "tRNA-Met". It matches the Rfam family "tRNA". From Rfam's summary of the family: Transfer RNA (tRNA) molecules are approximately 80 nucleotides in length. The record is from RNAcentral. Lineage: Eukaryota; Viridiplantae; Chlorophyta; Ulvophyceae; Ulotrichales; Ulotrichaceae. RNAcentral also lists the same sequence under 2 other names.